AACGAACGCUGGCGGCAUGCCUAACACAUGCAAGUCGAACGAGACCUUCGGGUCUAGUGGCGCACGGGUGCGUAACGCGUGGGAACCUGCCCUUAGGUUCGGAAUAACUCCCCGAAAGGGGUGCUAAUACCGGAUAAUGUCUUCGGACCAAAGAUUUAUCGCCUUUGGAUGGGCCCGCGUUGGAUUAGCUAGUUGGUAGGGUAAAAGCCUACCAAGGCGACGAUCCAUAGCUGGUCUGAGAGGAUGAUCAGCCACACUGGGACUGAGACACGGCCCAGACUACUACGGGAGGCAGCAGUGGGGAAUAUUGGAAAAGGGGCGAAAGCCUGAUCCAGCAAUGACGGGUGAGUGAUGAAGGCCUUAGGGUUGUAAAGCUCUUUUACCCGGGAUGAUAAUGACAGUACCGGGAGAAUAAGCUCCGGCUAACUCCGUG
Molecule: ribosomal RNA, 433 nt
Filed under: uncultured bacterium
Lineage: Bacteria
Description: partial 16S ribosomal RNA
Rfam family: Bacterial small subunit ribosomal RNA
Source: RNAcentral